RNAcentral lists this ribosomal RNA (254 nucleotides) under uncultured bacterium. RNAcentral describes it as "partial 16S ribosomal RNA". It matches the Rfam family "Bacterial small subunit ribosomal RNA", at positions 524 to 776 of the family's 1533-position model. The record is from RNAcentral.
UACGUAGGGGGCAAGCGUUGUCCGGAUUAUUGGGCGUAAAGAGCGUGUAGGCGGUUUGGUAGGUCCGCUGUGAAAACUCGAGGCUCAACCUCGAGACGCCGGUGGAAACCAUCAGACUAGAGUCCGGAAGAGGAGAGUGGAAUUCCGUGGUGUAGCGGUGAAAUGCGCAGAUAUCAGGAAGAACACCCGUGGCUAAGGCGGCGUCUCUAGUACGGUACUGACGCUGAGACGCGAAAGCGUGGGGAGCGAACAGG